UCUUUUGUCCAGCAGAAAUCUCAGGAACUACAAAUGAUAUCAGCAAGAAAAUUGGAGAAAAUGUAGGUAAGGUAUUGUAGUUGUGCAGGAAGUUAAAAUUAUUGGCUAAACUUUUUAACUUUAAGCUGGUAUUAAUUCGGUAAGACACAUAGAACAAAAGUUGUGUGUAAUUACAAGAGCUUUCGAAUGAAAUCAAGAAAAAGGGGCUGGCCCCUAUAUUUAGGGGUCAGCAGCUCAUAAACGUGUUUUUUUUAAUACUUAAAAAUGUUGACAUAUAUUGAAAAAGUUUGAAUGAAAUAAUCUUUAGGAUAUCAAAUCUUGUCAUUUGGUAUGAUAAGAAACAAGCUUUGUGCUAUAUUUAUUUCUAUUUCAUAAAAGAAAUGUGUGAGAAUCGUACAGGAACAAGUUGUCUGUACAAGCCCGCCAAGCUGUUUCGGGGCCUCAUGCUUGUGUAGUGCUUAGAUAGUUGAUUUAAAUACAUUGUUUUGAUUCGACUUCUCUUUUUUAAUUUAUUUAAAUAAUUAACAAAAUGCAAUGUUUUUACACGAUGAACUGUUAAACAUCAUGUAUGUAUGUAUGUUAUCAGUGCAGAGCAAGUCUUUACGGGGCCUCCUGGAUGUAAACAUUCACGAGAGGCAUUGUGGGAAGGCUAGAGAAUGCCGAAAUCAAAUUGUGAUGUGUACAUUUUAUCACCGUAUGUAGACAUGUAUAUUCAUUGUACAGCUUCGAGCACAUGAACUGCCCUCGAUUACGCACUUGGAGCAUUAGUCAAUACUAACGAAGGAUAUAUUGUUGUCUGAAUUGUUUACCAAGUUUCGACUACGAGAAAAUUCUGACGGUCAUAUUUGCAAUGGAUUGAUAAACACAUAAAGAUACAGUGCAGAUAUAUUUAUAAACUGUCCCCAGUGAUAUUGUAACUAGUAAGGAAAAGUUAAUGGUGACACUUUAAUGUGUGAUGGAAUUGGACGUUGCUAAAAAGAUUUGGUGCCGUUAACCACCCCUGGACUUGGAGGUGAAAGUCCUCCCAGGGGCAAAUAAGAACUUGGGUUGCGUCUUCGAGGGCGAAGACAAUUUAAGGAGGGAGGAAUGUAAUGGUUCUGGCUGUGGAUAUCGGCCUGGGUAGCUCAGUCGGUAGAGCACCUGACUAGUGAUGCAGGGGUCCCGGGUUCGAUUCCCGUUACAGCCAUACAUUUUCUCCUUUCCUGUUACAUAUAUAUAUAGCGACAAUUUCUUUUCCUUUUUUUCUUUUUUGGCAUCUUAUUUUAGGGCUACAGUAUUAAUUUUGGGCUCAUUUACUAGGAAUAUUAUAACUUUAUUGGAAUUGUCCCACUGAAUUAAAGGGAACUUGUAUUUUGAGGUAGGUGUGUUUACUGUCAAUUUUCUCUCUUAAAUGCCGCAUAAGGCGUCUUUUUUCUGAUCUCAAAUUUUUGCCCAAGAAUUAAUCUUUAUUUUCUCUUUCAUUAAAUAUCUGAUGACAGUCUAUUUAAUUAAUUAAUUUUAUUAAAGCUAUAUAGUAACAUAUAGUGAAAUUAUUUCCUUGUGUGAGACCUUAAGAGUAACAGGUAACGUUCAUUUUGACUGCAAUUUCUCUGAUUUCAGGAGUAGCCUCCCCUGUUAAAGAUCAAUAAUGGUGGAUAAGCAAUGCAGGAUGCUGUCAUGUCAUCAACAGAGAGUUUUGACACCCGUAUACCCGUAUUUCUACCAAUCACCUCUGUAAUCUUUGUUGUGUUCAUCAGACAGAUGAUGGACCACUCUACUUCCUUUUACAACAGGUGCCCCUACAGAUUCACAAAGUUCCAAUGUUGAUUUUCCAUGACCCCCCAUUCAUCCGCGACAGGAAAAGGAAUGAAGUUGACAGGAUUUUCCGCACUGUCCUUGGUAGCAGCUUAUGAUAGAACGGACAGCAGUAGACAUGGCCUGCUUCAUCAAAGGUCUGCUGCAUGUUGGUAGCUGAUGCUGGUUCAAUAUUUGCGCCAAGAAGCAUACCACGCAUACCCUCUGUAGUAAGGCUGGUACCCAUGUGACCGACAGCCAUAGCCACAUUUAGCUGUGCAGCUCUGCGUCCCCUUCUGGAUCUCCCCACCUCUUCAUACAGCUUUUCACGGCGACUUGUAUAGUGGCACUUCUUACAUCGGAUGGAAAGGAUCCAUGCCAGGCCUCGUUUUUCCUCCCCAUGCUGGUUCCAGUCCAGUGAACCAUUACAGUCUGUAAACUUCUAGCUGCCUGGUCUUCUAAGAGAAACUCCAUUCUUUGAUGACUGAUGGAAAAGCCUCAUCACUCCCUACUGCUAAAGAACCACUUAUCUUAAUCACCAGCCAUUUAUCAGUGAUCACUGUUAUCAAAGCUCCAUGGUGUGCAUGAUGCAACUUCCUGGAUGUUUGUCAACAUGUGAAACCCACGUGUAUUUUGAGGUGCGACAGUAUGUCUCCAGGUUAAGUGAUUGUGUAGAUUGAUUCCCAGCAUAUCGAUGAUUUGCCAAAAGAGCAUAUGAAUAGAAAAUUGGUGAUGCUUAAAAAUAUCAGCAGAAUACAGAAAUUAAGAGACACAGAUGGACAAAAACCCUCUUAUCUAAUAUAAUUUACAUAUUAGGCCUAUACAACUAGAAAAUGUAACAAGUGAAAUUUAAAUGUAUGCAUAUAUUUACUGUAAAUGUAUUAUAUUCAGCGUGUACGAUAUUUGGUGGAAAUUGAUUUUUGAACAAGUUAGCGUGAAUUUGAUUUAGCGAAUUCCUUUUUGUUUUUAGCUCACCUGAGCUGAAAGCCCAAGUGAGCUUUUCUGAUCACCCAUAUUCCGGCGUCCGUCCGUCUGUAAACUUUUCACAUUUUCAACUUCUUCUCAACAACCACUGGGCCAAUUUCAACCACAGUUGGCACAAAACAUCCUUAGGUAAAGGGAAUUCUAAAUUGUUAAAAUAAAGGGCCAGGCCACCUUCCAAGGGGAGAUAAUCAAGAAAAGGUAAAAAUAGGGUAGGGUCAUUAAAAAAUCUUCUUCUCAAGAACCACUGGGCCAGAAAAGAUGAAAUUUAUAGAUAAGCUUUAUUAGGUAGUGCAGAUUGUAAAUUGUUAAAAGCAUGGCCCCCGGGGGUCGGAUGGGGCCACAAUAGGGGAUCAAAGUUUUACAUACAAAUAUAUAGGGAAAAUCUUUAAAAAUCUUCUUCUCAAGAACCACUGAGCCAGAAAAGCUGAGAUUUAUAUGAAAGCUUCCUUAUAUAAUGUAAAUUCUAAAUUGUUAAAAUCAUGGCCCCCGUGGGUCGGAUGGGGCCACAAUAGGGGAUCAAAGUUUUACAUACAAAUAUAUAGGGAAAAUCUUUAAAAAUCUUCUUGUCAAGAACCACUGAGCCAGAAAAGCUGAGAUUUAUAUGAAAGCUUCCUUAUAUAAUGCAGAUUCUAAAUUGUUAAAAUAAUGGCCUCCGGGGGUCGGAUGGGGCCAGAAUAGGGGGUCAAAGUUGUUUUUGUUUGUUUUUUGUUGUUUUGUUUUUGUUUUUGUUGUUGUUUUUUUUUGUUUUUUUUGUUUUUUUUUAAUAUAGUGCAGAUUCAAGUUUGUUAAAAUCAUGGACCCCGGGGAUUGGAUGGGGCCUUAAGGGGGGCAUCAAAGUUUUACAUACAAAUUUAUAGGAAAAAUCUUUUAAAAUCUUCUUCUCAAGAACCACUGAGCCAGAAAAGCUGAGAUUUAUAUGAAAGCUUCCUGAUAUAGUGCAGAUUAUAAAUUGAUAAGAUCAUGGCCCCUGGGGGUCGGAUGGGGCCACAAUAGGGGGUCAAAGUUUUACAUACAAAUAUAUAGGAAAAAUCUUUAAAAAUCUUCCCAGAACCAGUAAGCCAGAAAAGCUGAGAUUUAUAUGAACCAUUGGGCCAAAGAAGUUCAUAUUUACAUGAAAGCUUUCUGACAUAGUGUAGAUUCAAGUUUGCAAAAACCAUGGCCUCCAGGGAUAGGUUUGGGGCCAUAAUAGGGACUACGGUUUUACAUGCAAAUAGAUAUGGAAAAUCUUCUGAUAUGGACCAAGGUGACUCAGGUGAGCGAUGUGGCCCAUGGGCCUCUUGUUUUAUUUAUGUGUAGAGUGUAAGACAUUUAGCGUUGUAUUUGAAUGAGCGGUAGUUGCUUUCCGCCAAAGGCGCUAAAAAGAAUACACAACCAAAUGUAAUACGUUUACAGUAUUAGAGCUGUUUUAAUGUAUACAAUUGUGUAUACAUGGUUGCUUGUUUGUUGACUCAGUGUAUAGAACAUGUACUACUAUAAUGUACAUCUUUCAUGUGUUAUUUCAAUGUGAUGUUGAAUCACAUUUAAAAUACAGCAAAGCUUUUACAGCUGAAUCCUGUUGUUUUUUUUAAUUAUGUACAGUUUUGAUUUCCCAACAGAUCAAAAAAUAAACAUAGAGAAUUCUUCA
Ostrea edulis (European flat oyster) is the source of this 4381-nucleotide long non-coding RNA. RefSeq lists it as uncharacterized. NCBI's taxonomy places the organism in Eukaryota, Metazoa, Mollusca, Bivalvia, Ostreida, Ostreidae. The record is from RefSeq and is a predicted model, not a curated record. The transcript is spliced from 8 exons.